AAUGUGGGGACAGGUGUCACCUCUUCAACAACACUGACAGGGGAGACGGCUCUCAGGUCAGGGAGCUGUUGGAGAAGGUAGAUCUCAUGGUCACUCAGAACAAGUACUCCCACUAUGAAGUGCUCAGAGAGCAGAGAGAGGGCAGAUACACAGGACUGGGGCGAAUCAUUAUGGUGACUGUACUAGUAACUGCAGUAGGAGCUGGGAUAGGGGCUUGUACACCAGCAGGACGAAAGGGAGCAGCAGUAGGAGCUAUGAUAGGAGCAGUGUCAGUAUUUCUGAUUGGAGUCUUGAUGCUCUCAUCAGGGACAAGGAGGAGCCCAUUCAAGUGGAGGAAGUUUAAGUAAAUUUAAGAAAGUCUGUGUAAAUUUCAUAUAUAUAUAGUACAAGGCCAGUUGAAUUCAAUUACAUAAAUCUAUUCUAAAUCACCUGGGAUAAGGGCAUCUGCUCAGUGAUUAUUAUAAUAACGCAAUCAUGUCAUCCAAUGUCAUGUCUAUCUGGUGUUUUUGGUAAUAAAGUGACAUUCCUGAA
Molecule: non-coding RNA, 531 nt
Organism: Lepisosteus oculatus (spotted gar)
Lineage: Eukaryota; Metazoa; Chordata; Actinopteri; Semionotiformes; Lepisosteidae
Source: RefSeq, a predicted model, not a curated record